This is a long non-coding RNA of Triticum aestivum (bread wheat), 897 nucleotides long. RefSeq lists it as uncharacterized. The transcript has 2 exons. Lineage: Eukaryota; Viridiplantae; Streptophyta; Magnoliopsida; Poales; Poaceae. The record is from RefSeq and is a predicted model, not a curated record.
AUGUCAUGCUCGAGGUAGCAACCGAACCUCGCACGGUAGGUUUGCUUCAUGAUCUGCAGCUGCGACGGCGUCCUGGAGCAGAUAACCUCGGUGGCGGCUCUCAGGUCGGUGAUGUCGCCGUUGAGAGCUUGGUUCAGUAUGGUCGCAUCACGCCCAGCAGGGUCGAGGACCCAAAGCAGCAUAGCAUUCUGCUACCACAGCCAAGCAGGAUGAGCGCGCGCUGCGCCGAGUCGCGGUGAGCAAGUAUGUUGGUCACCGUCGUGCUGUCGCAGCCGAAACCUGCACAAUACAAGACCACCACCGGCCGUUACACUGACAACAUCGAUUGUUGCUAGACAGGAUGGAAGGAAUAGUUCAUCGUUCGUUGCAUCUGUGUACCUUUGAAGGCCUUGUGGAGAGCGACGGCGUCAUCGCGCGGGGGCGUGAGCACCGGAGGCACGCUCAGGCUCGCCAUCGCUCGCCUGCGUGCCUGGACGAUGGUUUCCUUUCUGUGAGAGUGAGACUGGUGCUGCGUACGGGGGGAGCUUUUUAAAGAGGGAGACGCGAAGCUUUCCCCGUAGACGCUAGAUUCGAUUUCUCUUUGAAAAUUACAAGGAUGAGAGGCACAACCCGCUCAUUCUUUGAUUCAGAAUAUUUUGAAACAGCACUACUACCUCCGUCUGCGUUUAUUAGUUUCCAUUGUAUUUUGGGUUAAACUUUCACCACGUAUUUGACUACAAAUGUUAAGGGCACCUUUGAUUCAAAGGUUUUUCAUAGGAAUUUUCGAGGAUUAUAAUCAUUAGCAUUUUUUUUUCUAUAUUGGUUGUUUGAUUCAUAUGAUUGAAUCCUAUAGGAUUUUUCCCUAAACAUUUUUUACUACUUUUUAUUGUAUUCAAAGGUUUAUUAGUUUCCAUUGUA